This 507-nucleotide ribosomal RNA is filed under the name uncultured bacterium. RNAcentral's name for it is "partial 16S ribosomal RNA". It matches the Rfam family "Bacterial small subunit ribosomal RNA", at positions 30 to 523 of the family's 1533-position model. The record is from RNAcentral.
AUUGAACGCUGGCGGCAGGCCUAACACAUGCAAGUCGAGCGGCAGCGGAAGGAAGCUUGCUUCCUUGCCGGCGAGCGGCGGACGGGAGAGUAAGGUAUGGGGAUCUGGCCGAAGACGGGGGAUAACCACUGGAAGCGGUGGCUAAUACCGCAUAAUCUCUAAGGAGCAAAGUGGGGGACCGUUCAGGCCUCACACCUUCGGAUGAACCCAUAUGAGAUUAGCUAGUAGGUGGGGUAAUGGCUCACCUAGGCGACGAUCUCUAGCUGGUCUGGGAGGAUGAUCAGCCACACUGGGACUGAGACACGGCCCAGACUCAUACGGGAGGCAGCAGUGGGGAAUAUUGCACAAUGGGCGCAAGCCUGAUGCAGCCAUGCCGCGUGUAUGAAGAAGGCCUUCGGGUUGUAAAGUACUUUCAGUCGUGAGGAAGGUGUUAAGGUUAAUAACCUUAGCAAUUGACGUUAGCGACAGAAGAAGCACCGGCUAACUCCGUGCCAGCAGCCGCCGUAA